UACGGGGGGGGCAAGUGUUGUUCGGAAUUACUGGGCGUAAAGGGCUCGUAGGUGGCCAACUAAGUCGGACGUGAAAUCCCUCGGCUUAACCGGGGAACUGCAUCCGAUACUGGAUGGCUUGAGUUCGGGAGAGGGAUGCGGAAUUCCAGGUGUAGCGGUGAAAUGCGUAGAUAUCUGGAGGAACACCGGUGGCGAAGGCGGCAUCCUGGACCGACACUGACGCUGAGGAGCGAAAGCCAGGGGAGCAAACGGG
Molecule: ribosomal RNA, 253 nt
Filed under: uncultured bacterium
Lineage: Bacteria
Description: partial 16S ribosomal RNA
Rfam family: Bacterial small subunit ribosomal RNA
Source: RNAcentral